UUUGAAAAUUNAAAGUCGUAACAAGGUUUCCGUAGGUGAACCUGCGGAAGGAUCAUUACAGAAUGAAAAGUGCUUAACUGCAUUUUUUCUUACACAUGUGUUUUUCUUUUUUUGAAAACUUUGCUUUGGUAGGCCUUCUAUAUGGGGCCUGCCAGAGAUUAAACUCAACCAAAUUUUAUUUAAUGUCAACCGAUUAUUUAAUAGUCAAAACUUUCAACAACGGAUCUCUUGGUUCUCGCAUCGAUGAAGAACGCAGCGAAAUGCGAUAAGUAAUAUGAAUUGCAGAUAUUCGUGAAUCAUCGAAUCUUUGAACGCACAUUGCGCCCUUUGGUAUUCCAAAGGGCAUGCCUGUUUGAGCGUCAUUUCUCCCUCAAACCCUCGGGUUUGGUGUUGAGCGAUACGCUGGGUUUGCUUGAAAGAAAGGCGGAGUAUAAACUAAUGGAUAGGUUUUUUCCACUCAUUGGUACAAACUCCAAAACUUCUUCCAAAUUCGACCUCAAAUCAGGUAGGACUACCCCGCUGAACUUAAGCAUAUCAAUGCGGGGGGGGAA
Molecule: small RNA, 551 nt
Filed under: Lodderomyces parapsilosis
Lineage: Eukaryota; Fungi; Ascomycota; Pichiomycetes; Serinales; Debaryomycetaceae
Description: eukaryotic LSU rRNA
Rfam family: 5.8S ribosomal RNA (bases 209-362)
Source: RNAcentral